This 624-nucleotide ribosomal RNA is filed under the name uncultured bacterium. Its description in RNAcentral is "bacterial SSU rRNA". The stretch from base 1 to 539 matches the Rfam family "Bacterial small subunit ribosomal RNA", at positions 338 to 873 of the family's 1533-position model. The record is from RNAcentral.
CCUACGGGAGGCAGCAGUGGGGAAUUUUGGACAAUGGGCGCAAGCCUGAUCCAGCAAUGCCGCGUGAGUGAAGAAGGCCUUCGGGUUGUAAAGCUCUUUUGUCAGGGAAGAAACGGUCUACUCUAAUACAGUGGGCUAAUGACGGUACCUGAAGAAUAAGCACCGGCUAACUACGUGCCAGCAGCCGCGGUAAUACGUAGGGUGCAAGCGUUAAUCGGAAUUACUGGGCGUAAAGCGUGCGCAGGCGGUUUAUAUAAGUCAGAUGUGAAAUCCCCGGGCUCAACCUGGGAACUGCAUUUGAGACUGUAUGGCUAGAGUGUGUCGAGAGGGGGGUAGAAUUCCACGUGUAGCAGUGAAAUGCGUAGAUAUGUGGAGGAAUACCGAUGGCGAAGGCAGCCCCCUGGGAUAACACUGACGCUCAUGCACGAAAGCGUGGGGAGCAAACAGGAUUAGAUACCCUGGUAGUCCACGCCCUAAACGAUGUCUACUAGUUGUCGGGACUUAAUUGUNUUGUACGACAGNACGACGNGAGAGACGCCGCGGAAGGUAGGUACGUUCGAGAAGUUAAAUUAAUAANAGAGUUAGAGGCGNGAGAGNGCGACGGACGACGACGAGGAGGAGGAG